GAUGAACGCUGGCGGCGUGCCUAAUACAUGCAAGUCGAGCGAACGGACGAGGAGCUUGCUUCUCUGCAGUUAGCGGCGGACGGGUGAGUAACACGUGGAUAACCUACCUAUAAGACUGGGGUAACUUCGGGAAACCGGAGCUAAUACCGGAUAAUAUGUUGAACCGCAUGGUUCAACAGUGAAAGACGGUUUUGCUGACACUUAUAGAUGGUUCCGCGCCGCAUUAGCUAGUUGGUAAGGUAACGGCUUACCAAGGCGACGAUGCGUAGCCGACCUGAGAGGGUGAUCGGCCACACUGGAACUGAGACACGGUCCAGACUCCUACGGGAGGCAGCAGUAGGGAAUCUUCCGCAAUGGGCGAAAGCCUGACGGAGCAACGCCGCGUGAGUGAUGAAGGUCUUCGGAUCGUAAAACUCUGUUAGUAGGGAAGAACAAAUGUGUAAGUAACUCUGCACGUCUUGACGGUACCUAAACAGAAAGCCACGGCUAACUACGUG
RNAcentral lists this ribosomal RNA (497 nucleotides) under uncultured bacterium. Its description in RNAcentral is "partial 16S ribosomal RNA". It matches the Rfam family "Bacterial small subunit ribosomal RNA", at positions 28 to 507 of the family's 1533-position model. The record is from RNAcentral.